GGCAGUGUGGCCUAGGGGAUAGGGCACUGGACUACAACCCAGGAGACCUGCAUUCAAUUCCUAGCGCUGCCA
This 72-nucleotide transfer RNA is filed under the name Chelonia mydas (Green sea turtle). It matches the Rfam family "tRNA". Rfam says of the family: Transfer RNA (tRNA) molecules are approximately 80 nucleotides in length. Their secondary structure includes four short double-helical elements and three loops (D, anti-codon, and T loops). Lineage: Eukaryota; Metazoa; Chordata; Testudines; Cheloniidae. The record is from Rfam by way of RNAcentral.